AAGCCAACACGGGGCCGGCUCUCCUUUUGCCAGCCUUCGCUCCAGCCUCUGCCCGGGCUCUCCUUGCACCCUCUUAGCUUCCGCCGGCAGGGUCCGGACUGGUGGAGUCGGAGUCAGAGAAGACCAGCGGGCACACUUCUGCCCCGCGCACCUUCCUCUGUGGAGGGGAACAGACGGCAGAGGAGGAAACUGAGCUAACUUCCCCCACAAAGCCAGAAAGUAGGACAUCCAAGCUCUGGCUGUCCGGAAACUGGAACUGCCCUGAAUGACCCUACUUUUAGAGACAACAUAUGCAGACCCACGACAUGGCUCAAAAGUGAAGGUGCUUGCUGCCAUGCUUGGUGCCCCGAGCUCAGUCCCUGGGAUCCGCAAGCCGCCUGGUCAAGAGCAGCAAAGAGCAAACCAAGAUCUUCUGCUGGAGAGGGAGGGAAUCUUGUGUUGUUUCUUGGCUCAGAGUCACCCUGUUGCCAUCCACUUCCGAAAUGACUUGGGAUAUGUGAGCAAGGCCAACACGUUUGGGAACUGGUGCCUCAGAGGGAUACAGCUUAAUGUUGAGAAGACCACUGACCGACCUACCUUCUGAAUUACCAAGAACCUGACAGAAGCCACCAAGUAGGGCUAACUGCUCAGGUUGCCUAGUGCAGACCCCUGGUGGGAUCCUCAGCACAAAACCCUGCAGCAAAGACCUGGCAGCUAAGGAAGGAGAAGCACUAGGUGGAAAAUUUAUCUAACAUUGUGAGUCAAAUGAAUGGCUUCUGUUGGCCUUGAACUUGUAGUGAUUCUCAAGACUUCAGGCUCCCGAGGACUGGAAUCAUAGACUGCCUCACGACACCCUGAGAUGAACUCCUGAUCUGCUCAGUCCAUAAUAUGACUGUCUUUGCUUUACCUACCGGCCACUGCUUUCUCCUACGUAAACACUUAAAGGGCACUCACCGUAAGUACCCAGACAGAAGGUGACUCAACCUGAGAGCCUUGGAAGAAACCUUACUACCUGAGCCUCACCAUUUAGGAACACCCCGGGGAACUCAUUUCAGGUGACACACAGACUGAUACUGGCAGGCAAGACUGAAAUAAAGUAGAUGAGACUACACCCUGCUCCCUCGCGGGUGCGUGUGUGGAUUUAACUGUGUCUGUUUAUCUUCCCCUUUCUUCAGGAAACUUAACUCUCCAUCUAUAGAUGACGACAGGAAGCAGGUUAAGCUACUCACCUUCAGACAGUGGUUUGAGGACCGUCUGGCUUUUGACGUCCGACUCCACAAUUUCAAUA
Non-coding RNA from Peromyscus maniculatus bairdii (prairie deer mouse), 1267 nucleotides. The record is from RefSeq and is a predicted model, not a curated record. NCBI's taxonomy places the organism in Eukaryota, Metazoa, Chordata, Mammalia, Rodentia, Cricetidae.